This 305-nucleotide ribosomal RNA is filed under the name uncultured bacterium. RNAcentral describes it as "bacterial SSU rRNA". It matches the Rfam family "Bacterial small subunit ribosomal RNA", at positions 335 to 656 of the family's 1533-position model. The record is from RNAcentral.
AAUCCUACGGGGGGCAGCAGUGGGGAAUAUUGCACAAUGGGGGAAACCCUGAUGCAGCGACGCCGCGUGGGCGAGGAAGUACCUCGGUAUGUAAAGCCCUAUCAGCAGGGAAGAAACAGGACAGUACCUGACUAAGAAGCCCCGGCUAACUACGUGCCAGCAGCCGCGGUAAUACGUAGGGGGCAAGCGUUAUCCGGAUUCACUGGGCGUAAAGGGAGCGCAGGCGGCAUGGCAAGUCUGAUGUGAAAACUACGGGCUUAACUUGUAGACUGCAGUUGAAACUGGUUUUCUUGAGUGAAGUAGAG